AGAUUGAACGCUGGCGGCAUGCCUUACACAUGCAAGUCGAACGGCAGCACGGGAGCAAUCCUGGUGGCGAGUGGCGAACGGGUGAGUAAUACAUCGGAACGUGCCCAAUCGUGGGGGAUAACGCAGCGAAAGCUGUGCUAAUACCGCAUAAGAUCUACGGAUGAAAGCAGGGGAUCGCAAGACCUUGCGCGAAUGGAGCGGCCGAUGGCAGAUUAGGUAGUUGGUGAGGUAAAGGCUCACCAAGCCUUCGAUCUGUAGCUGGUCUGAGAGGACGACCAGCCACACUGGGACUGAGACACGGCCCAGACUCCUACGGGAGGCAGCAGUGGGGAAUUUUGGAACAA
This 344-nucleotide ribosomal RNA is filed under the name uncultured soil bacterium. Its description in RNAcentral is "bacterial SSU rRNA". It matches the Rfam family "Bacterial small subunit ribosomal RNA", at positions 26 to 371 of the family's 1533-position model. The record is from RNAcentral.